GUGGCUUAAUUUGACUCAACGCGGGAAAUCUUACCGGGUCCGGACACACUGAGGAUUGACAGGCAAUAUUAGCACUUAGCUUCGGCGACGUGUUAUGUUAAAUAUGCUAGUCCUUUCAUGAUUAUGUGAUAGGUGGUGCAUGGCCGUUCUUAGUUCGUGGAGUGAUCUGUCUGCUUAAUUGCGUUUCACCAAGGGCCUAUAAUUUUACGUGUGUUGCGGCACUUUGACCCCUCUUUUUUUAAAGAGCGCGUGUCUUGGUUUGCUUAGCUCGCACAAUUAGGUCCUGAAAGCAACGAACGUGACCGCAACCUCUUGUUGCCUUUAUACCAAACGUGCAUAUGCAAUUUUUUAAUUGCUUUGCGCGCAAAAAGGCUUUUUAAACUAGAGGGACCGCUGUUACUUUCUUAAACCAGAGGAAGGUUGCGGCAAUAACAGGUCUGUGAUGC
RNAcentral lists this ribosomal RNA (446 nucleotides) under Bulimina sp. Its description in RNAcentral is "SSU rRNA". It matches the Rfam family "Eukaryotic small subunit ribosomal RNA", at positions 1185 to 1470 of the family's 1831-position model. The record is from RNAcentral. Lineage: Eukaryota; Foraminifera; Rotaliida; Buliminidae.